This 74-nucleotide transfer RNA is filed under the name Candidatus Epulonipiscium sp. Its description in RNAcentral is "tRNA-Arg". It matches the Rfam family "tRNA". Rfam says of the family: Transfer RNA (tRNA) molecules are approximately 80 nucleotides in length. Their secondary structure includes four short double-helical elements and three loops (D, anti-codon, and T loops). The record is from RNAcentral. Lineage: Bacteria; Bacillati; Bacillota; Clostridia; Lachnospirales; Lachnospiraceae.
GCACACAUAGCUCAGCUGGAUAGAGCAUCUGACUUCGGAUCAGAGGGCCGAGGGUUCGAAUCCUUCUGUGUGCG